UGGUCAACAGAGGGAAGCAAGACCGCGAGGUGGAGCAAAUCCCUAAAAGCCAUCCCAGUUCGGAUUGCAGGCUGCAACCCGCCUGUAUGAAGUUGGAAUCGCUAGUAAUCGCGGAUCAGCAUGCCGCGGUGAAUACGUUCCCGGGCCUUGUACACACCGCCCGUCACACCAUGAGAGUCGGGAACACCCGAAGUCCGUAGUCUAACCGCAAGGGGGACGCGGCCGAAGGUGGGUUCGAUAAUUGGGGUGAAGUCGUAACAAGGUAUC
This 267-nucleotide ribosomal RNA is filed under the name uncultured bacterium. RNAcentral describes it as "partial 16S ribosomal RNA". It matches the Rfam family "Bacterial small subunit ribosomal RNA", at positions 1234 to 1500 of the family's 1533-position model. The record is from RNAcentral.